AGAUUGAACGCUGGCGGCAGGCCUAACACAUGCAAGUCGAGCGGUAGAGAGGUGCUUGCACCUCUUGAGAGCGGCGGACGGGUGAGUAAUGCCUAGGAAUCUGCCUAGUGGUGGGGGAUAACGUUCGGAAACGGACGCUAAUACCGCAUACGUCCUACGGGAGAAAGCGGGGGACCUUCGGGCCUCGCGCCAUUAGAUGAGCCUAGGUCGGAUUAGCUAGUUGGUGAGGUAAUGGCUCACCAAGGCGACGAUCCGUAACUGGUCUGAGAGGAUGAUCAGUCACACUGGAACUGAGACACGGUCCAGACUCCUACGGGAGCAGCAGUGGGGAAUAGUUGGACAAGUGGGCGAAAGCCUGAUCCAGCCAUGCCGCGUGUGUGAA
Molecule: ribosomal RNA, 382 nt
Filed under: uncultured soil bacterium
Lineage: Bacteria
Description: bacterial SSU rRNA
Rfam family: Bacterial small subunit ribosomal RNA
Source: RNAcentral